GUGGGGAAUCUUGCACAAUGGGCGAAAGCCUGAUGCAGCGACGCCGCGUGGGGGAUGAAGCUUUUCGGAGUGUAAACCCCUUUCGACCCGGACGAAUGCCCCGCAAGGGGACUGACGGUACGGGUAUAAGAAGCCCCGGCUAACUACGUGCCAGCAGCCGCGGUAAGACGUGGGGGGCCAGCGUUGCUCGGAAUUACUGGGUGUAAAGGGUUCGUAGGCGGUGUGGCAAGUCGGGAGUGAAAUCUCUGGGCUUAACUCAGAGACUGCUUCCGAAACUGCUGUGCUUGAGUGUGGGAGAGGCGCGUGGAAUUGCAGGUGUAGCGGUGAAAUGCGUAGAUAUCUGCAGGAACACCCGUGGCGAAAGCGGCGCGCUGGACCACUACUGACGCUGAGGAACGAAAGCUAGGGGAGCAAACAGGAUUAGAUACCCUAGUAGUCC
Molecule: ribosomal RNA, 439 nt
Filed under: uncultured bacterium
Lineage: Bacteria
Description: bacterial SSU rRNA
Rfam family: Bacterial small subunit ribosomal RNA
Source: RNAcentral